Molecule: ribosomal RNA, 368 nt
Filed under: uncultured organism
Description: bacterial SSU rRNA
Rfam family: Bacterial small subunit ribosomal RNA
Source: RNAcentral
CGAAGGAUCCAAGCGUUAUCCGGAUUUAUUGGGUUUAAAGGGUGCGUAGGCGGGCUAUUAAGUCAGUGGUGAAAGCCCCAAGCUUAACUUGGGAACUGCCAUUGAUACUGAUGGUCUUGAGUACACUUGAGGUGGGCGGAAUGUGUCAUGUAGCGGUGAAAUGCUUAGAUAUGACACAGAACACCGAUUGCGAAGGCAGCUCACUAAAUUGUAACUGACGCUGAGGCACGAAAGCGUGGGGAUCAAACGGGAUUAGAUACCCUGGUAGUCCACGCCCUAAACGAUGAUUACUCGAUGUGUGCAAUACACCGUACGCGUCUGAGCGAAAGCAUUAAGUAAUCCACCUGGGGAGUACGACCGCAAGGUUG